RNAcentral lists this transfer RNA (72 nucleotides) under Bacteroidales bacterium. RNAcentral's name for it is "tRNA-Arg". It matches the Rfam family "tRNA". Rfam says of the family: Transfer RNA (tRNA) molecules are approximately 80 nucleotides in length. Their secondary structure includes four short double-helical elements and three loops (D, anti-codon, and T loops). Lineage: Bacteria; Pseudomonadati; Bacteroidota; Bacteroidia; Bacteroidales. RNAcentral also lists the same sequence under 2 other names. The record is from RNAcentral.
GGGCCUAUAGUUCAAUGGAUAGAAUAAAGGAUUCCGGUUCCUUCGAUUGGGGUUCGACCCCCCAUAGGCUCA